This 324-nucleotide ribosomal RNA is filed under the name uncultured eukaryote. Its description in RNAcentral is "partial 18S ribosomal RNA". It matches the Rfam family "Eukaryotic small subunit ribosomal RNA", at positions 1470 to 1796 of the family's 1831-position model. The record is from RNAcentral.
CCCUUAGAUGCUCUGGGCCGCACGCGCGCUACACUGGUCGGUGCAACGAGUUUCUUUCCUUGGCCGACAGGCCUGGGCAAUCUUUGAACAUCGAUCGUGAUCGGGAUAGAUUCUUGUAAUUUUUGAUCUUAAACGAGGAAUUCCUAGUAAACGCAAGUCAUCAGCUUGCAUUGAUUACGUCCCUGCCCUUUGUACACACCGCCCGUCGCACCUACCGAUUGAAUGGUCCGGUGAAAUCUCCGGACUGGCGUGAGUCGGAGCAAUCUGACAAACGCCGGAAAGUUGAUUAAACCUUACCAUUUAGAGGAAGGUGAAGUCGUAACA